AGAGAUGGAUUGGGUGCCGUUCGGGAACUCUGACACAGGUGCUGCAUGGCUGUCGUCAGCUCGUGUCGUGAGAUGUUGGGUUAACGUCCCGUAACGAGCGCAACCCUUGUCCUUAGUUACCAGCACGUUAUGGUGGGCACUCUAAGGAGACUGCCGGUGACAAACCGGAGGAAGGUGGGGAUGACGUCAAGUCAUCAUCGGCCCUUACGGCCUGGGCUACACACGUGCUACAAUGGUCGGUACAAAGGGUUGCCAAGCCGCGAGGUGGAGCUAAUCCCAUAAAACCGAUCGUAGUCCGGAUCGCAGUCUGCAACUCGACUGCGUGAAGUCGGAAUCGCUAGUAAUCGUGAAUCAGAAUGUCACGGUGAAUACGUUCCCGGGCCUU
Molecule: ribosomal RNA, 385 nt
Filed under: uncultured Pseudomonas sp.
Lineage: Bacteria; Pseudomonadati; Pseudomonadota; Gammaproteobacteria; Pseudomonadales; Pseudomonadaceae
Description: bacterial SSU rRNA
Rfam family: Bacterial small subunit ribosomal RNA
Source: RNAcentral